UUUAUGGAGAGUUUGAUCCUGGCUCAGGAUGAACGCUGGCGGCGUGCCUAAUACAUGCAAGUCGAGCGAACGGACGAGAAGCUUGCUUCUCUGAUGUUAGCGGCGGACGGGUGAGUAACACGUGGAUAACCUACCUAUAAGACUGGGAUAACUUCGGGAAACCGGAGCUAAUACCGGAUAAUAUUUUGAACCGCAUGGUUCAAAAGUGAAAGACGGUCUUGCUGUCACUUAUAGAUGGAUCCGCGCUGCAUUAGCUAGUUGGUAAGGUAACGGCUUACCAAGGCAACGAUGCAUAGCCGACCUGAGAGGGUGAUCGGCCACACUGGAACUGAGACACGGUCCAGACUCCUACGGGAGGCAGCAGUAGGGAAUCUUCCGCAAUGGGCGAAAGCCUGACGGAGCAACGCCGCGUGAGUGAUGAAGGUCUUCGGAUCGUAAAACUCUGUUAUUAGGGAAGAACAUAUGUGUAAGUAACUGUGCACAUCUUGACGGUACCUAAUCAGAAAGCCACGGCUAACUACGUGCCAGCAGCCGCGGUAAUACGUAGGUGGCAAGCGUUAUCCGGAAUUAUUGGGCGUAAAGCGCGCGUAGGCGGUUUUUUAAGUCUGAUGUGAAAGCCCACGGCUCAACCGUGGAGGGUCAUUGGAAACUGGAAAACUUGAGUGCAGAAGAGGAAAGUGGAAUUCCAUGUGUAGCGGUGAAAUGCGCAGAGAUAUGGAGGAACACCAGUGGCGAAGGCGACUUUCUGGUCUGUAACUGACGCUGAUGUGCGAAAGCGUGGGGAUCAAACAGGAUUAGAUACCCUGGUAGUCCACGCCGUAAACGAUGAGUGCUAAGUGUUAGGGGGGUUCCGCCCCUUAGUGCUGCAGCUAACGCAUUAAGCACUCCGCCUGGGGAGUACGACCGCAAGGUUGAAACUCAAAGGAAUUGACGGGGACCCGCACAAGCGGUGGAGCAUGUGGUUUAAUUCGAAGCAACGCGAAGAACCUUACCAAAUCUUGACAUCCUUUGAUAACUCUAGAGAUAGAGCUUUCC
This 1035-nucleotide ribosomal RNA is filed under the name Staphylococcus aureus. RNAcentral describes it as "bacterial SSU rRNA". It matches the Rfam family "Bacterial small subunit ribosomal RNA", at positions 1 to 1017 of the family's 1533-position model. The record is from RNAcentral. Lineage: Bacteria; Bacillati; Bacillota; Bacilli; Caryophanales; Staphylococcaceae.